RNAcentral lists this long non-coding RNA (215 nucleotides) under Homo sapiens (human). Its description in RNAcentral is "HSALNT0179345". The record is from RNAcentral. Lineage: Eukaryota; Metazoa; Chordata; Mammalia; Primates; Hominidae.
CUUAACUCUCCAGAGGCUUCUGGCCUCCUGGGAUAGUUCAUUGUAAGUCCUCUCAACUCUCUGCUGUUGUUAGCUGAUAACCAGCAACUUAAUGGUUGAUCUGCCUCUCAAAUACUGUCUCCCAGGAGCUCAACAGGUAGAGGUGUAAUCCACGUGGGAAAGCAGUCAACAGAGAGGCUUUGGAGCCACUGUCUGCUGGCUGUGUGACCUUCGGC